This 253-nucleotide unclassified non-coding RNA is filed under the name uncultured Myxococcales bacterium. RNAcentral's name for it is "contains 16S-23S intergenic spacer region". It matches the Rfam family "Bacterial small subunit ribosomal RNA", at positions 524 to 776 of the family's 1533-position model. Lineage: Bacteria; Pseudomonadati; Myxococcota; Myxococcia; Myxococcales. The record is from RNAcentral.
GACAGAGGGUGCAAGCGUUGUUCGGAAUCAUUGGGCGUAAAGGGCGCGUAGGCGGCGACGUAAGUCGGAUGUGAAAGCCCAGGGCUCAACCCUGGAAGUGCAUCCGAAACUACGUCGCUUGAGUCCCGGAGAGGGUGGUGGAAUUCCCAGUGUAGAGGUGAAAUUCGUAGAUAUUGGGAGGAACACCGGUGGCGAAGGCGACCACCUGGACGGUGACUGACGCUGAGGCGCGAAAGCGUGGGGAGCAAACAGG